Panicum hallii is the source of this 193-nucleotide long non-coding RNA. RefSeq lists it as uncharacterized. The transcript has 3 exons. NCBI's taxonomy places the organism in Eukaryota, Viridiplantae, Streptophyta, Magnoliopsida, Poales, Poaceae. The record is from RefSeq and is a predicted model, not a curated record.
GGGACGGCGACCACCUCCCAUUUUUCAUCCGCAGUCUCCGCCGCCUUCUCGCCAUUGGCUGGGAGGGUGGACCAUGUUUUCCUGGACUACUUCGACAACAAUCCCCAUCAAAUCUGUCGGGAACAGAAACAACCCCCUCCAAGCGCACCCAGAAGACUUUGUGAAGGAGCAGACUUUGUGAAGGAGCAGAGGA